Molecule: ribosomal RNA, 120 nt
Filed under: Oncorhynchus mykiss (rainbow trout)
Lineage: Eukaryota; Metazoa; Chordata; Actinopteri; Salmoniformes; Salmonidae
Source: RNAcentral
GCUUACGGCCACACCGGCCUGAGUACGCCUGAUGCUCGUCCGAUCUCGGAAGCUAAGCAGGGUCGGUCCUGGUUAGUACUUGGAUGGGAGACCGCCUGGGAAUACCAGGUGCUGUAAGCU